GGCGAACGGGUUGAGUCAUUGCAUCGGAACGUGUCCCGUAGUGGGGGAUAACCCGGCGAAAGCCGGACUAAUAACGUAUAUGCUCUACGGAGGAAAGUGGGGGACCUGCAAGGCUCACGCGUAUGGUGUAGCGGCCGAUGUCCGAUUAGCUUGUUGGUGGGGUAAGUGGCCUACCAAGGCGACGGAUCGGUAGCUGGUCUGAGAGGAUGAUCAGCGAGAACUGGGCCUUGAGCCCAGGCCCAAACACCCUUAAAGGGAGGCGUGGGAUUGGGCCGAUUGGGGGCAACCCUGAUCUAGGCUUGCCAGUGUACGGGAAGAAGGCCUUCGGGUUGUAACCCGCUUUUAGGCUGGGAAGCAACAGGCGCUGGGUCGAAUACCCCGCGUUGUUGACGGUACCGGCGGAAUAAGCACCGUGCUUACUUCGUGCCAGCCGCCGCGG
RNAcentral lists this ribosomal RNA (439 nucleotides) under uncultured bacterium. RNAcentral's name for it is "bacterial SSU rRNA". It matches the Rfam family "Bacterial small subunit ribosomal RNA", at positions 97 to 520 of the family's 1533-position model. The record is from RNAcentral.